ACGAAGGGUGCGAGCGUUAAUCGGAAUUACUGGGCGUAAAGCGCGCGUAGGUGGUUUUGUAAACGAAAUGUGAAAUCCCCGGGCUCAACCUGGGAACUGCAUGUCGAACUGCAAGGCGAGAGUAUAGUAGAGGAGUGUGGAAUUCCCGGUGUAGCGGUGAAAUGCGUAGAUAUCGGGAGGAACAUCAGUGGCGAAGGCGGCACUCUGGACUGAUACUGACACUGAGGCGCGAAAGCGUGGGUAGCGAACAGGA
Molecule: ribosomal RNA, 253 nt
Filed under: uncultured prokaryote
Description: partial 16S ribosomal RNA
Rfam family: Bacterial small subunit ribosomal RNA
Source: RNAcentral